This 448-nucleotide ribosomal RNA is filed under the name uncultured bacterium. Its description in RNAcentral is "bacterial SSU rRNA". It matches the Rfam family "Bacterial small subunit ribosomal RNA", at positions 958 to 1397 of the family's 1533-position model. The record is from RNAcentral.
AACGCGAAGAACCUUACCUGGGCUUGAACUGUCGGAAGUAGUCUUUAUGAAAGUAGAGACGGACCGUUAAGUCGGUAACCGAUAGAGGUGCUGCAUGGCUGUCGUCAGCUCGUGUCGUGAGAUGUUGGGUUAAGUCCCGCAACGAGCGCAACCCUUACCCUAUGUUGCUACGUCCGUAAAGGACAGCACUCUUAGGGAACUGCCUCGGACAACGGGGAGGAAGGUGGGGAUGACGUCAAGUCACCAUGGCCUUUAUGUCCAGGGCUACACACGUGCUACAAUGGCCGGUACAGCGAGCAGCAAAUCCGCAAGGAGGAGCAAAUCUCUAAAAGCCGGCCCCAGUUCAGAUUGUGGGCUGCAAUUCGCCCACAUGAAGGUGGAAUCGCUAGUAAUCGGGGAUCAGCUGGCCCCGGUGAAUACGUUCCCGGGCCUUGUACACACCGCGAGC